GAUGAACGCUGACAGAAUGCUUAACACAUGCAAGUCUACUUGAAUUUGGGUUUUUUAACUUAGAUUUGGGUGGCGGACGGGUGAGUAACGCGUAAAGAACUUGCCUCACAGCUAGGGACAACAUUUGGAAACGAAUGCUAAUACCUGAUAUUAUGAUUAUAAGGCAUCUUAGAAUUAUGAAAGCUAUAUGCGCUGUGAGAGAGCUUUGCGUCCCAUUAGCUAGUUGGAGAGGUAACGGCUCACCAAGGCGAUGAUGGGUAGCCGGCCUGAGAGGGUGAACGGCCACAAGGGGACUGAGACACGGCCCUUACUCCUACGGGAGGCAGCAGUGGGGAGUAUUGGACAAUGGACCAAGAGUCUGAUCCAGCAAUUCUGUGUGCACGAUGACGUUUUUCGGAAUGUAAAGUGCUUUCAGUUGGGAAGAAAAAAAUGACGGUACCAACAGAAGAAGUGACGGCUAAAUACGUG
Molecule: ribosomal RNA, 468 nt
Filed under: uncultured bacterium
Lineage: Bacteria
Description: partial 16S ribosomal RNA
Rfam family: Bacterial small subunit ribosomal RNA
Source: RNAcentral